Bradysia coprophila is the source of this 790-nucleotide long non-coding RNA. Lineage: Eukaryota; Metazoa; Arthropoda; Insecta; Diptera; Sciaridae. The record is from RefSeq and is a predicted model, not a curated record.
AAAGGAAUCAUUUAGCAACGAGAAGCAGCUCAAUUUUAACGUUUUCGGGUUUCGCCUAUUCGAUAAAGUGAUUUCUAUCAUUCUGAUUCCAACAACCCCAGCGGUAACCAGUGACGCACACAAACUAAUCAUGUUAGCCCUUCGGACAUUUUUCGGUUUUCGACUCGAAUAUGGAGGUCUGUUCAUCGGCAUAUACUGCCUCGUAAUAAAUGCUCUAUCGGUGGGAUUGUGCAUAUUUGAAAUACUAUCCGUACGCCAGUACGACUGUGAUGAGUUUGUAAGAAUCUGGAACCCAUCGCUGUACGACAAAGUACGGGAUGCAUGGUGCCCGUACAUACAACGAGUCACCUUUACCAUUCUAUCGUUCAACAUUCUGUACAGCCUUGGCAUUGUGUGCAUCGGAUGCUUGUGCAUACAAGGAACGACCAGUCGUAAUCAUUGCCGUAUCAGUCCGAUGAGGAUGUUUCUAACUAUUUACGUAGCUGCGAGCUGGGUAUUGGCGGUGUUGGUCUCGCUGUUUGUAAUCAGUUCAUUUUGGACGGAUUUCAUAAUAUUCCAUUUUCUGUUCACAUUCAUUUACAUGGCCUUAAUAACCUACGCUUUACUGGUGAUCAAUUCUUUGUACAAGAUGUUUAAACGAGAAUAUGAAAACAAGACCGACAAAUGCAUAUAUCCAUAAAUGUUAUGCUGGUGGUUGGACUCGAUAUUUUUGUUGUUCAAAUUUUUAUUUUUGUUUAUAAGCAACAGAGAUGCAAUGGCAAUUUCUUUCCAUUUCAAAUAAAAAGUUCGA